RNAcentral lists this transfer RNA (74 nucleotides) under Coccidioides posadasii CPA 0001. RNAcentral's name for it is "tRNA-Tyr (GTA) (tRNA-Tyr-GTA-3-1)". It matches the Rfam family "tRNA". Rfam says of the family: Transfer RNA (tRNA) molecules are approximately 80 nucleotides in length. Their secondary structure includes four short double-helical elements and three loops (D, anti-codon, and T loops). The record is from RNAcentral. Lineage: Eukaryota; Fungi; Ascomycota; Eurotiomycetes; Onygenales; Onygenaceae.
CCCCCGAUGGUGUAGUUGGAUAUCACGUUCGGCUGUAAACCGAAAGGUCGCCGGCUCGACUCCGGCUCGGGGAU